This 28-nucleotide small RNA is filed under the name Bombyx mori (domestic silkworm). RNAcentral's name for it is "ovarian small RNA-17495". The record is from RNAcentral. Lineage: Eukaryota; Metazoa; Arthropoda; Insecta; Lepidoptera; Bombycidae.
GGGAGCGCAGGUUCAGAUCCUGCAGUCG